UUGGUGAGGUAAUGGCUCACCAAGACGACGACGGGUAGCCGGCCUGAGAGGGCGACCGGCCACACUGGGACUGAGACACGGCCCAGACUCCUACGGGAGGCAGCAGUGGGGAAUAUUGCACAAUGGGGGAAACCCUGAUGCAGCGACGCAGCGUGCGGGAUGACGGCCUUCGGGUUGUAAACCGCUUUCAGCAGGGAAGAAGCCCCUUGGGGUGACGGUACCUGCAGAAGAAGUACCGGCUAACUACGUGCCAGCAGCCGCGGUAAUACGUAGGGUACAAGCGUUGUCCGGAAUUAUUGGGCGUAAAGAGCUCGUAGGUGGUUGGUCACGUCUGCUGUGGAAACGCAACGCUUAACGUUGCGCGUGCAGUGGGUACGGGCUGACUAGAGUGCAGUAGGGGAGUCUGGAAUUCCUGGUGUAGCGGUGAAAUGCGCAGAUAUCAGGAGGAACACCGGUGGCGAAGGCGGGUACUCUGGGCUGUAACUGACACUGAGGAGCGAAAGCAUGGGGAGCGAACAGGAUUAGAUACCCUGGUAGUCCAUGCCGUAAACGUUGGGCACUAGGUGUGGGGGACAUUCCACGUUCUCCGCGCCGUAGCUAACGCAUUAAGUGCCCCGCCUGGGGAGUACGGUCGCAAGGCUAAAACUCAAAGGAAUUGACGGGGGCCCGCACAAGCGGCGGAGCAUGCGGAUUAAUUCGAUGCAACGCGAAGAACCUUACCAAGGCUUGACAUACACCAGACCGUCCUGGAAACAGGUCCUCCUCUUUGAGGUUGGUGUACAGGUGGUGCAUGGUUGUCGUCAGCUCGUGUCGUGAGAUGUUGGGUUAAGUCCCGCAACGAGCGCAACCCUCGUUCUAUGUUGCCAGCACGUGAUGGUGGGAACUCAUAGGAGACUGCCGGGGUCAACUCGGAGGAAGGUGGGGAUGACGUCAAAUCAUCAUGCCCUUUAUGUCUUGGGCUUCACGCAUGCUACAAUGGCUGGUACAGAGAGAUGCGAGACCGCGAGGGUUUUAGCGAAUCCCUUAAAGCCAGUCUCAGUUCGGAUCGUAGUCUGCAAUUCGACUACGUGAAGUCUGGAGUCGCUAGUAAUCGCAGAUCAGCAACGCUGCGGGUGAAUACGUUUCCCGGGCCUUGCACACACCGCCCCGU
This 1150-nucleotide ribosomal RNA is filed under the name Kocuria rhizophila. RNAcentral describes it as "bacterial SSU rRNA". It matches the Rfam family "Bacterial small subunit ribosomal RNA", at positions 249 to 1397 of the family's 1533-position model. Lineage: Bacteria; Bacillati; Actinomycetota; Actinomycetes; Micrococcales; Micrococcaceae. The record is from RNAcentral.